UACGUAGGGGGCAAGCGUUGUCCGGAAUUAUUGGGCGUAAAGCGCGCGCAGGCGGUCUUUUAAGUCUGAUGUGAAAUCUUGUGGCUUAACCACAAGCGGUCAUUGGAAACUGAAGGACUUGAGUGCAGAAGAGGAGAGUGGAAUUCCAUGUGGAGCGGUGAAAUGCGUAGAGAUAUGGAGGAACACCAGUGGCGAAGGCGACUCUCUGGUCUGUAACUGACGCUGAGGCGCGAAAGCGUGGGUAGCGAACAGG
This 253-nucleotide ribosomal RNA is filed under the name uncultured bacterium. RNAcentral describes it as "partial 16S ribosomal RNA". It matches the Rfam family "Bacterial small subunit ribosomal RNA", at positions 524 to 776 of the family's 1533-position model. The record is from RNAcentral.